RNAcentral lists this unclassified non-coding RNA (273 nucleotides) under Hevea brasiliensis (rubber tree). The record is from RNAcentral. Lineage: Eukaryota; Viridiplantae; Streptophyta; Magnoliopsida; Malpighiales; Euphorbiaceae.
GUGAACUCCAUCUCAUCCAUGCCCUCCCCAGUGUACCAAUGCAGGAAAGCCUUGCGUCGGAACAUGACUGUAAACUGCUCGGAAACCCUCUUAAACAUCUCCUGGAUCGACGUCGAAUUGCCCAUAAAUGUGGCCGACAUGCUCAUGCCGUGUGGCGGGACGUCGCAGACGCUAGACUUGACAUUGUUCGGGAUCCACUCGACGAAGUAGGAGGAAUUCUUGUUCUGGACGGCAAUCAUCUGCUCGUCGACUUCCUUGGUGCUCAUUUUGCCU